This 253-nucleotide ribosomal RNA is filed under the name uncultured bacterium. RNAcentral describes it as "partial 16S ribosomal RNA". It matches the Rfam family "Bacterial small subunit ribosomal RNA", at positions 524 to 776 of the family's 1533-position model. The record is from RNAcentral.
UACAGAGGAGCCAAGCGUUGUCCGGAUUGACUGGGCGUAAAGCGCACGCAGGCGGUCGGGCGCGUGGGGUGUGAAAUCUGGCCGCUUAACGGCCAGGCGCCAUCCCAUACGGCUCGACUGGAGUGAUGCAGAGGUCGAUGGAAUUGCCGGUGUAGUGGUGAAAUGCGUAGAGAUCGGCAGGAACACCCAGGGGGAAACCAGUCGACUGGGCAUCUACUGACGCUGAGGUGCGAAAGCGUGGGGAGCGAACAGG